AAAAAUGUGCCAGCCAUUCAGAGUGCCAGAAAAAAAAGCCUUCCAGAAAAAAGUGCAGCUCACUGCCGGCGCACACUUAAUUUUACAUGAACACGCUCGUUGAGGCUGAAGCAAAUCUGACUGAUUUUCAAUGUGAAAAUAAAAUAUUGUUCUUGGAGUUACUUUUAAACAGAACUAACAUAAGAAUCAUCUGAAUCAUCAGAAUCAUCUAUUUCAGAAAAAUUGGAUUCAUCACAUGAAUCUUCAGCCAACAACUGUUCGAGAACAAUGUUGACAUCACAUGUAGGAAUGCUAUGUUCUCCAGGAUUUGACAUUUUUAGUGAUAGAGAACCACUAUGUUUUGUAAGAGGAAGCACCCACUACUAAAAACAGAAUGCUAUAAAUAGAAGGAUGUCUUUUGUUUCCAAAGUCAAUAUACUAGAGGGAUGAGAAAAUAGUAACAAAAGCAAGAUAUUUUGUGGCAAAGUUAUCUGGAAGCAAAUGAUGAAGCCUCAAGCACUGCCAGUGAGUAUUCGCAGGGCAAGUGGGAAA
This 531-nucleotide long non-coding RNA is filed under the name Homo sapiens (human). RNAcentral's name for it is "HSALNT0364629". The record is from RNAcentral. Lineage: Eukaryota; Metazoa; Chordata; Mammalia; Primates; Hominidae.